AGGGACGGCCGGAGGGCCGCUGAUCCGAAAGGGUUGGAGGAACUUCCGGACUCCGAUGAGCGCGACGCCCGUCGAAAGGCGGGGGAUCGAGGGCCACAUCCCUCGGUCAUGGACAGUACCACAGAAAGUUACCGCCCGAAAGGGUAAGGGUGAAAAGGUGGGGUAAGAGCCCACCGGGAGAAGCCGCGAGGCUUCCCGCAAAGGUAAACCCCGUCGGGAGCAAGGCAGUUGGGCGGAGGACGCUGCUCGCGUCAGGAGGGAGCUUGCUCCCUCACGGCCGCCCGGUAGCCGCUGAGAGAAAUGGUCCUCGAGCCCGCAAGGGUGGACAGAAUCCGGGGUACAGGCCGUCCCUGAUC
This 356-nucleotide RNase P RNA is filed under the name Elusimicrobiota bacterium. RNAcentral's name for it is "RNase P RNA component class A". It matches the Rfam family "Bacterial RNase P class A". Rfam says of the family: Ribonuclease P (RNase P) is a ubiquitous endoribonuclease, found in archaea, bacteria and eukarya as well as chloroplasts and mitochondria. Its best characterised activity is the generation of mature 5'-ends of tRNAs by cleaving the 5'-leader elements of precursor-tRNAs. Lineage: Bacteria; Pseudomonadati; Elusimicrobiota. The record is from RNAcentral.